GUAGGGAAUAUUGCACAAUGGGCGAAAGCCUGAUGCAGCGACGCCGCGUGAGUGAUGAAGGUUUUCGGAUUGUAAAGCUCUGUUCUGGGGGACGAAAAAAAUGACGGUACCCCAGAAGAAAGGACCGGCUAACUUCGUGCCAGCAGCCGCGGUAAGACGAGGGGUCCUAGCGUUGCUCGGAAUUAUUGGGCGUAAAGCGGGUGUAGGCGGCUUUGUAAGUCAGGAGUGAAAGUCCUGGGCUCAACCCGGGAAGUGCUUUUGAUACUGCUUAGCUUGAGUGUGGGAGAGGAUAGUAGAAUUCCUGGUGUAGUGGUGAAAUACGUAGAUAUCAGGAGGAACACCGGUGGGGAAGCCGGCUAUCUGGCCCAACACUGACGCUCAGACCCGAAAGCAUGGGGAUCAAACAGGAUUAGAAACCCGAGUAGUCC
RNAcentral lists this ribosomal RNA (428 nucleotides) under uncultured bacterium. RNAcentral describes it as "bacterial SSU rRNA". It matches the Rfam family "Bacterial small subunit ribosomal RNA", at positions 354 to 796 of the family's 1533-position model. The record is from RNAcentral.